CAGGAUGAACGCUGGCGGCGUGCCUAACACAUGCGAAGUCGAACGGAGAACCCGGCCCUCGGGCGGUUAUGAAGUGGCGAACGGGUGAGUAACACGUGACCAACCUGCCCCGCGCUCAGGGACAGCCUCGGGAAACCGGGAUUAAUACCUGAUGGCGCCCCGCCCCCGCGAUGGGGGAGGGGGGAAAAGCCGAAGCGGGCGCGGGAUGGGGUCGCGGCCCAUCAGGUAGACGGCCGGGUAGAGGCCGGCCGUGCCGACGACGGGUAGCCGGGUUGAGAGACCGACCGGCCACAUUGGGACUGAGAUACGGCCCAGACUCCUACGGGAGGCAGCAGUGGGGAAUAUUGCGCAAUGGGGGCAAAACCCCCUGACGCAGCAACGCCGCGUGCGGGACGACGGCCCUCGGGUUGUAAACCGCUUUCAGCAGGGAAGACAUCGACGGUACCUGCAGAAGAAGCCCCGGCUAACUACGUGCCAGCCGCCGC
Molecule: ribosomal RNA, 485 nt
Filed under: uncultured bacterium
Lineage: Bacteria
Description: bacterial SSU rRNA
Rfam family: Bacterial small subunit ribosomal RNA
Source: RNAcentral